AAGUUGAGAGGCAAUUUAGUGAAUGCUCAAAAUCUCUGCAGUGGAAUAAGGAUAGAGUGAGGGAACUAGAAACACAACUUAAAUCCUUGCAAGAGGAUUUAAUUUCAGCUAAAGAUGCUGCUGCAGCAAACGAAGAGCAAUUAUCAGCUGAACUUUCCACUAUUCAUGGUUAUCAAAGGAAUGAUCAAAGGAUGUCCAUAUCUAAAGAUUAAGCUAAGGUGGUGGAAAAGAUCAAUAAUAGUUAAAAAAA
Non-coding RNA from Arachis ipaensis, 250 nucleotides. The record is from RefSeq and is a predicted model, not a curated record. Lineage: Eukaryota; Viridiplantae; Streptophyta; Magnoliopsida; Fabales; Fabaceae.